GGGAACAGUCCCAGGAUCUGGGGCCUCAAGGCAGUUCCAGGGAUGUUGGGGCCUGACCGUUCUUUGCCUCCAUCUAUGAUCGAGAAAUGCCAACUGUUCGGGUUGCCCAUGGGAGGAGUCAAAGGCUGGGACGUGAAGGCAGCUUUGGUCCUGCGCCUUCUCGUCUGUGCCUGAAGAGUGCUCUGAACCGCCUCCCCUCAGCCGCCACCCUCCCCAGCAUGCCUUUUUCACCUCCUCUACCACUUGCUUUGAGGAGGCAACAUCAGUACCUGAUGGUCCAGAGGACAGUGCACGGGGUUCUGUAAAUGCGAAUCACUCUGGCCCCUAACAUGGUUUACAGGUGUGGAUCAAGAAACGGGAAAGAAAUCUCUAGCCCUGUGAAACUGACACACGAUUUCAAUAAAGCCAAUGACGU
This is a long non-coding RNA of Ailuropoda melanoleuca (giant panda), 415 nucleotides long. RefSeq lists it as uncharacterized. The record is from RefSeq and is a predicted model, not a curated record. Lineage: Eukaryota; Metazoa; Chordata; Mammalia; Carnivora; Ursidae. The transcript has 3 exons.